RNAcentral lists this ribosomal RNA (207 nucleotides) under uncultured bacterium. RNAcentral's name for it is "partial 16S ribosomal RNA". It matches the Rfam family "Bacterial small subunit ribosomal RNA", at positions 568 to 774 of the family's 1533-position model. The record is from RNAcentral.
UACGCAGGCGGCUCGUUAAGUCGGAUGUGAAAGCCCGGGGCUCAACCCCGGAACUGCAUUCGAAACUGGCGGGCUUGAGUACGGGAGAGGGAAGCGGAAUUCCUGGUGUAGAGGUGAAAUUCGUAGAUAUCAGGAGGAACACCCGUGGCGAAAGCGGCUUCCUGGCCCGAUACUGACGCUCAUGUACGAAAGCGUGGGGAGCAAACA